Molecule: ribosomal RNA, 341 nt
Filed under: uncultured Latescibacterota bacterium
Lineage: Bacteria; Pseudomonadati; Candidatus Latescibacterota
Description: bacterial SSU rRNA
Rfam family: Bacterial small subunit ribosomal RNA
Source: RNAcentral
CUGCAUGGCUGUCGUCAGCUCGUGUCGUGAGAUGUUGGGUUAAGUCCCGCAACGAGCGCAACCCUUAUCCCCAGUUGCCAUCAGGUAAAGCUGGGAACUCUGGGGAGACUGCCGGUGAUAAACCGGAGGAAGGCGGGGAUGACGUCAAGUCCUCAUGGCCCUUACAUCCCGGCUACACACGUGCUACAAUGGCAGGUACAGAGGGCUGCGAAGCCGCGAGGUGGAGCGAAUCCCAGAAAACCUGUCUCAGUCCGGAUUGAAGUCUGCAACUCGACUUCAUGAAGGCGGAAUCGCUAGUAACCGCGAAUCAGCAGGUCGCGGUGAAUACGCUCCCGGGCCUU